RNAcentral lists this long non-coding RNA (452 nucleotides) under Olea europaea subsp. europaea. Lineage: Eukaryota; Viridiplantae; Streptophyta; Magnoliopsida; Lamiales; Oleaceae. The record is from RNAcentral.
CUUGUCUCAAUGAGGUAUAAAGGGAAAGGAAACAUUCGGGAGUACAUUAUGGAAAUGUCUCACAUUGCUUCAAAACUAAAGGCGCUCAAGUUGGAUUUAUCUGAAGACUUGUUAGUGCACUUGGUUCUGAUAUCCCUUCCGGCACAUUUCAGUCAAUUCAAGGUGAGCUAUAACUGUCAAAAGGACUCAUGGUCCCUUAAUGAGCUCAUCUCACACUGUGUCCAGGAAGAGGAAAGACUGAAGCAUGAAAAGACAGAAAGUGCUCAUUUAGCCACCACCUCUAAGGACAAAAGCAACAAGAAAAGGAAGAUUAAUAAGGAAGCUGCAGGUACGGCACCGCAAAAGAAACAGCAUAAGGAACCAACUGAAGGCGGUUGUUUCUUCUGUGGAGCUGCAGGUCAUAAGAAGAAGAAUUGCACCAAUUACCACGCAUGGCGUGUAAAGAAAGGUAC